GGUCCCUUAGCUCAGUUGGUUAGAGUGCUACCUUGACAUGGUAGAGGUCGCUGGUUCGAGGCCAGCAGGGACCACCA
Molecule: transfer RNA, 77 nt
Filed under: Bacillota bacterium
Lineage: Bacteria; Bacillati; Bacillota
Description: Firmicutes bacterium (anaerobic digester metagenome) tRNA-Val
Rfam family: tRNA
About the family: Transfer RNA (tRNA) molecules are approximately 80 nucleotides in length. Their secondary structure includes four short double-helical elements and three loops (D, anti-codon, and T loops). Further hydrogen bonds mediate the characteristic L-shaped molecular structure. tRNAs have two regions of fundamental functional importance: the anti-codon, which is responsible for specific mRNA codon recognition, and the 3' end, to which the tRNAs corresponding amino acid is attached (by aminoacyl-tRNA synthetases). tRNAs cope with the degeneracy of the genetic code in two manners: having more than one tRNA (with a specific anti-codon) for a particular amino acid; and 'wobble' base-pairing, i.e. permitting non-standard base-pairing at the 3rd anti-codon position.
Source: RNAcentral